AUUGAACGCUGGCGGCAGGCCUAACACAUGCAAGUCGAGCGGAUCGGCGGACGGGUGCGUAAUGCCUAGGAAUCUGCCUGGUAGUGGGGGAUAACGUCCGGUAAUGGGCGCUAAUACCGCAUACUAUCAGAUGAGCCUAGAUCGGUUUAGCUAGUGGGUGGGGUAAAGGCCUACCAAGGCGACGAUCCGUAACUGGUCUGAGAGGAGGAUCAGUCACACUGGGACUGAGACACGGUCCAGACUCCUACGGGAGGCAGCAGUGGGGAAUAUUGGACAAUGGGCGAAAGCCUGAUACAGCCAUGCCGCGUGUGUGAAGAAGGUCUUCGGGUUGUAAAGCACUUUCAGUUGGGAGGCGUUACCAACAGAAUAAGCACCGGCUAACUUCGUGCCAGCAGCCGCGGUAAUUC
Molecule: ribosomal RNA, 407 nt
Filed under: uncultured bacterium
Lineage: Bacteria
Description: partial 16S ribosomal RNA
Rfam family: Bacterial small subunit ribosomal RNA
Source: RNAcentral